GACGAACGCUGGCGGCGUGCUUAACACAUGCAAGUCGAGCGGAAAGACCCUGCGUUUGCGGGGUGCUCGAGUGGCGAACGGGUGAGUAAAACGUGAGUAACCUGCCCCUGACUUUGGGGUAAAUUCAGGAAACAGGGGCUAAUACCGGAUAGGAGCUCCUGCUGCGUGGGGGGGGUUGGAAAGUUUCGGCGGUUGGGGAUGGACUCGCGGCUUAUCAGCUGGUUGGUGGGGUAGUGGCUGACAAAGGCUUUGACGGGUAGCCGGCCUGAGAGGGUGACCGGCCACAUUGGGACUGAGAUACGGCCCAGACUGCUACGGGAGGCAGCAGUGGGGAAUAUUGCACAACGGGCGGAAGCCUGAUGCAGCAACGUCGCGUGCGGGAUGACGGCCUUCGGGGUGUAAACCGCUGUCGCCUGUGACGAAGCGUGAGUGACGGUAAUGGGUAAAGAAGCACCGGCUAACUACGUG
Molecule: ribosomal RNA, 468 nt
Filed under: uncultured bacterium
Lineage: Bacteria
Description: partial 16S ribosomal RNA
Rfam family: Bacterial small subunit ribosomal RNA
Source: RNAcentral